Molecule: transfer RNA, 65 nt
Filed under: Planostrea pestigris
Lineage: Eukaryota; Metazoa; Mollusca; Bivalvia; Ostreida; Ostreidae
Description: tRNA-Thr
Source: RNAcentral
UCAGCUUUAGUAUAAAUAUAUUACAAAGGUCUUGUAAACCUUAAAUCUAAUUGCUAGAGGCUGAU